Molecule: long non-coding RNA, 479 nt
Organism: Haplochromis burtoni (Burton's mouthbrooder)
Lineage: Eukaryota; Metazoa; Chordata; Actinopteri; Cichliformes; Cichlidae
Exons: 3
Source: RefSeq, a predicted model, not a curated record
UUUGCUUAACGUGUUUGACUCUGUUUUGGUUGUUCAGCACCUGAUCUUAUCUGUGGUCCUGCAGAUUUCUGAGUGGGUACAAAAGCUGGCUUUCCUGGAGAACUCACUGAUUAAACAAACAGCUUGAAUCGGUGAAGAGCACGGCCUCUGUCACUGAGAGGAAGACAGCUCAGCACCAGGCAGACUCAUUCAAACACAUUUCCAGAAUGAUGAUGAAGAUCUGUGCCAUCCUACUUCUGUUUGUGGCCUCAGUCAACACACAGAUUUCAAGCUCGACUGCAACCACAGGGGAUCCAACAGCAACCACAGGGGCUCCAACAGCAACCACAGCUGCUACAACAGCAACCACAGCUGCUCCAACAGCAACCACAGCUGCUCCAAACACAACUACAACUGCAGCAACAACUACAGCUGCUCCAAACACAACUACAACUGCAGCAACUGCAGCAACAACAGCCACAACUGCAGCAACAACCACA